RNA transcript from Solenopsis invicta (red fire ant), 4511 nucleotides. RefSeq lists it as uncharacterized. The record is from RefSeq and is a predicted model, not a curated record. Lineage: Eukaryota; Metazoa; Arthropoda; Insecta; Hymenoptera; Formicidae. The transcript has 7 exons.
AACGCUAACCGCCGCAUUGCGUCGUUUUGCACGAUACGAGAUUUCAACUUCCGCCGUUGAUGAUAGUCCUUAUCGAACCAUAUCGUGCUAUUUCUGUUUACGAGCAUGGUGUGGCGGCCAUUUUCGCGAAUGGCGCGUCCAUUAGUCUCCGGGCUACCCGUGCCAAUCUCAAUGUUCAUCCUUGCGCGCCGUAAAUCCACUCGGCUCCACGCUUCCGCGGCUAAAAGGACCAAUGGCGAUUGUGAGCCCUUUCUACCGCGCGGCUCCUCGUCAUCGAUCCUCUCCCCGAUCCACGUCUGAGUUAUUUCGUCUUUGUGGAAGAGCGUAUAUCAUUCUUUUCAUAUACAUUAGACACCUCAGCACGCAGUGUCGUGUUCUGAAAACGCAGUCAUUAUUAACCUUUCAAUAUUCUCCGCUUAGAUUUGGAUAACAUAACUAUUAUAUUGCAAAAAGUUUUGACCUCACAAUAUUUACAUUAGGAAGACACAAUAGUUUACAUUAAUACUAAAGCAUAUGUGACUGAGAGUUGGCUAAACCACUUUGAAGAAUUGCUUUUAAUUUUAUGAACGAAAAGGCAGAAAAUUCGAUUAAAAAAGAAGCGUACAUUUUUUAAAUUGUACAGAGUAAAGUACAAUUAGGAUAAGAUAGAGAAAGAAAGACAAUUGGUCUAAAUUACUUUUUUAAACAUCUCUUUGAUAAUAUCAUCGAAACGAGACUCCUACCUUAUAGACGAGCUGGUUAUUUCUACUGAAACGCAAAUUCACACACACGUACACUUGUCUCGCGUUGCACACGCUUUUUCGUAUGCUGAUUAUACACGGGGUUGAACAUUUUACACGUACUUGCGACCGCGACAAAUAUUGAAUCUUAAAUACAUGAAGUGAAAUGCGCUUAAGGCGCGUCUUAGGUGCGAAGAGAGGAAGUAACGACAUGGUCAACGCACACGUUAAUUUACGACCGCGGGCAUUACUUCCUGGAAACUAGUGUGGACGUUUAAACGUCCCUUCCAAACCUUCCACAAUAGCUACGUUAGCUACGUGCCUUUUCUAAAAAUCGUUUAAGCGGCAAAUGAAAAUUUACCAUCGGUAUCGAGAAAUUAACGGGAAAUCACAGCAAAUGGAAAUUACUGGAAUUUCAUUGGAAAUCGCAAUCUGAUUGACGCGGACAGUUCUCAUCCACGCUCGAAGCGUCAGCACGCGUUUUGGAUAAUGCGCGAUUAUUUGCAAUCUAUUUGCUUUAUAUGCCAUCCACGGCAGCGUCCAGCCGUAAAUGUUUCGAAUAAACGAUCCAUUUGCUCGCUGCGAAGUUUACUCUCACGUUUGAUGCACGCUGCGCCACGUAAUUGAAACGAUCAAUCAAACACCUGAGAAAAGGAGGGUGAGCUCACGCGUGCACAAAUCGCACCUCAGGUCGCGUUCACGCAAAAGGGGAGGUGCGAACACCUACAAGCAAUUAAGUAUCAUCCGUGUCUUGUUGGAAAUAUUUUGAAGCUAGCAUUGUGUAUCUCCAAAAUAUUAAAGUUGAAAGAAAGAGGGAUUUGUUAUAAAUAUUUUAUUCUCUUCACACAAGCCAUUCGUACAAAUUAAUUUUUCUGUUUCUUCUUCCGAAUACUGUUAAUUAUGAUUCUCGAGGAAAGCGUUAAAUAUUAUAUUUUAAUAAAUAAUAAAUAAAAGUGUGAAGUUAGAUAUAAUUUUCUGUAUACUUUGUCUGAUAUACCGGUGGUUUUGCGGCCACGACACCAUUAAUAAUCGCGUGAGAAACGUUUAUUUCAGUCGGUAGGACGAGACGCGAGAGACGCGAGGAUUCUUUCGAAACUGCGCGAUUAAUUUUCAGUAAGCUCGGCGUAUAACUGGCCGCUUUUGGUGUGUGUACAGAUAUAGCCACUCUCGCGAGAUAUUAGACAGGUGAGCGCGUUCCCAGGGGAACAAAGGCCCCAUUACCCUGUCUUACCACCUCGACCCGGGCGGACGUCCCGACAGACCCUCCGCUCUUGAAACAUUCAUAAGAGCGUUGUAAGUGGUUUUUAAUAAACGUAUUUAAUCAUGAGUGUCGGAUUACGGAUUAAAUCGGUAGGCGCUGUCACCAAUCGGGGGGAUUAGUCAUGAAUCUAAACAGAUGUACAACCCGCUUUUUGCAGGUAUAUGCGGGUGUUUUGUCUUUCGAUUUUGAUACCGACGUGACAUUAUUUUAUUUUAUACCUUUAUUUUCUAAUGUCAAUUUUAACUAAAAAAAAUUAGUAGAAAACGCGAAAAAAAACAAGCAAUUAUUAAAAUGUGAAAGAAAAAAUUUUUAUCCGUACAAAAAGUACGUUUAACAAUGAUAAAAACGUACUUUUCAACUUUACUCAACCAUCAUCAGUCACAAACAAUGUAUAAAAAUAAGUAAUAAAUAAAUAAAUUACAGUUGAAGCGAUAAUAUAAUAUUUAAAAACAAGAUGAAAGAAAUUAAUUUAGAAUAAUAUAACUUUUUGAUAGUAUCAUUUAAUGAGUACUCUUAUUUGACGAAAGUUAAUUUAUGGCAUAAUAGAAUAGCAUUCAAAUUUGUUGAAUGUACAGGAAAUUAAUGUUUCGGUACUAUUAAUGUACUUGAAACUGUAAAACUGUUGCAACGCAGCCUAGAUAGAACGUUACGGUUAAAGCAAUUAUUUCUAGCAGACAAGAAAAUUAUUACAAGAGCGUGUCGCCUCCACUUCAGUCACAGUCAUCUCCGUGUUCAGUGACAACUCUCAUAGCACAACGUGCAAUGGUACUAGAAAAUUUGCUAGAACGCGGUGAAAAAUGUUCAUUGUGGGCUUACAAAAUAAUAUACCUCUUCGAAAUCUUCUUCGUAAUUUGCGCAGUGUUGGCACAGGAAUGCUUUGACGAUGGUAACGAGUUCUGUAUCGAUCAGAACGAUAUACUUUCUGUAGAUCUUUUACCUGGAACAUUUUUAUUUAAUGAUCAAAAUAAUGUUCCUAAGACAAUAAUAAACGAAACUGUGGAUGGAUCUUUUAAUAAAGCGUUAAACGAGAUGGAAUAUCACAGGAAGAGAAUGAAUGAGUAUCUUUGUCACGGCUACUUAGCGGAAGAAAUCUUCAAGGAAGUGAGCACUCCUAGAUUAAAACGACAUCCAGAAUCUAUGCCAACUAACAAUCAGCAUUACAAUUUCUUAGGCGAUGAUAAUGUUACGAUACACGAUAAGCUUUUAGCGGAUGAAGGAAGCUCAAAAUAUAAAACUUGGUUGCACCGAACAACGACCCUAAAUGACGUGUAUCAACAUUAUGCGCCUCACAAAAAAAUAAGAAAGAAACAAGAUAACGAUGUUGAAGAAUUCGAUGGCGAGGUGACGGGAUACGCGAUGCAGGCGCCUCUGCCAUCGAAUGGAAAAGUGGACGGCUAUGAACCAUCUCAUGAAGAUGACAUGCUGUCAUCGUCGACGGGGCAUCAUGCCUUUCAUUACGGACCGAUGUCCUAUGGCCAUCAUCAUGGUGACUACUUUCCGUCUAUCCACGAAGAGUACUAUUAUUCUCCGCAUCAGGAACAUCAAGAGGAUCACAAACCCUCCUAUUCCAAGGGAAAGGGUCACGACAUGUCGGUUAAGGACUUCUUCGAAAUCGCGCUCACCGCGCUUGCAUUCUUAGCAUUCGGGCUGUUCAUUAUUCAGCUUCUGAUGAAUUGCAUGGAAAAUAAUGGUAGUAGGCGAAUCAGGAGACACACAAUUUCUCUCUCCUCAUCUGUCAUUAGCAAUGAGGCAUUGAACGAGUUGUCUUAUCGCGUUUUGAGGUCCAUCGAAGCGGCUAUGGUCGCCGAAGCGGACUCUGGUAACUGUCUGCGCAGGAUACUAUGUGAAAAUAAUCAAUACUCCAAGGAAACUAAAGACGAUCGAAAAAUUUGGAUUCCUGUGUGGAGCUUGGGCAUGAGUUGGUUGUCGGGCAGAAUGCUACACAGGACUCCAUGGUCGGCAAUGUUGGAUUCUGUGAAAGCAUCCAUUUUGGGGUUGGGUGGAGUUGACUGCUCCUCUUUCUAUCCAGCAUGUGAUCUUGAGAGGGAAAGGAUUAAGAGGCGUCGCAGAAAGAGGAAAUAAAUAAUGUUUCACAAGGCAUUAAAAAAGUUCAAAGUAAAAUGAAUUAAACAGAGGAAAUGGUAUUAAACGGAUAGAAGAAUGAGCUGCUUGGAUAAAGGGUAAAGCAUUUACGAUAUCAUCCAAAAGCGGAUUAGGGGUUGCCUGCAGCUGUAUAAAAUAUUAUUUUUAAAACAUAAUCCAUUACUUUUUUAAUAUUGAAACCUGUUCUUAUUUAAAUUGUGAAAUAUUACUUAUUUGAAAGUGUAGAAAAGAUAAUUUAAUAUAUAACGAUUACGUAAUAAAGUACGUAAUACAUACAUUUAAAAUAAAAGAGAUAUAUAUUUUUAGUACCUGAAAUAAAUACACCAGUAUAGUGACACCAUCAUAUUGGCGAAGAGCCCCUAUUUGAGAUCCGUAAUGACUGUUGUAAUGUACAGCGUGCAGUUCCAUUGGCAUGCUUUGUGAAAAAA